RNAcentral lists this ribosomal RNA (462 nucleotides) under uncultured bacterium. RNAcentral's name for it is "partial 16S ribosomal RNA". It matches the Rfam family "Bacterial small subunit ribosomal RNA", at positions 28 to 507 of the family's 1533-position model. The record is from RNAcentral.
GACGAACGCUGGCGGCGUGCUUAACACAUGCAAGUCGAACGGAAAGGCCCUUCGGGGUACUCGAGUGGCGAACGGGUGAGUAACACGUGAGUGAUCUGCCCUGCACUUUGGGAUAAGCCUGGGAAACUGGGUCUAAUACCGAAUAGGACCACGCGCUUCAUGGUGUGUGGUGGAAAGCUUUUGCGGUGUGGGAUGGGCCCGCGGCCUAUCAGCUUGUUGGUGGGGUAAUGGCCUACCAAGGCGACGACGGGUAGCCGGCCUGAGAGGGUGACCGGCCACACUGGGACUGAGAUACGGCCCAGACUCCUACGGGAGGCAGCAGUGGGGAAUAUUGCACAAUGGGCGCAAGCCUGAUGCAGCGACGCCGCGUGAGGGAUGACGGCCUUCGGGUUGUAAACCUCUUUCAAUAGGGACGAAGCGCAAGUGACGGUACCUAUAGAAGAAGCACCGGCCAACUACGUG